GACGAACGCUGGCGGCGUGCCUAAUACAUGCAAGUCGAACGAGAGCGACCGGUGCUUGCACUGGUCAAUCUAGUGGCGAACGGGUGAGUAACACGUGGGUAACCUGCCCAUCAGAGGGGGAUAACAUCCGGAAACGGAUGCUAAAACCGCAUAGGUCUUCGAGCCGCAUGGCUUGAAGAGGAAAAGAGGCGCAAGCUUCUGCUGAUGGAUGGACCCGCGGUGCAUUAGCUAGUUGGUGAGGUAACGGCUCACCAAGGCCGUGAUGCAUAGCCGACCUGAGAGGGUGAUCGGCCACAUUGGGACUGAGACACGGCCCAAACUCCCACGGGAGGCAGCAGUAGGGAAUCUUCCGCAAUGGACGCAAGUCUGACGGAGCAACGCCGCGUGAGUGAAGAAGGUUUUCGGAUUGUAAAACUCUGUUGUUAGAGAAGAACAAGUGCUAGAGUAACUGUUAGCGCCUUGACGGUAUCUAACCAGAAAGCCACGGCUAACUACGUGCCAGCAGCCGCGGUAAUACGUAGGUGGCAAGCGUUGUCCGGAUUUAUUGGGCGUAAAGCGAGCGCAGGCGGUUCCUUAAGUCUGAUGUGAAAGCCCCCGGCUCAACCGGGGAGGGUCAUUGGAAACUGGGGAACUUGAGUGCAGAAGAGGAGAGUGGAAUUCCAUGUGUAGCGGUGAAAUGCGUAGAUAUAUGGAGGAACACCAGUGGCGAAGGCGACUCUCUGGUCUGUAACUGACGCUGAGGCUCGAAAGCGUGGGUAGCAAACAGG
Molecule: ribosomal RNA, 767 nt
Filed under: uncultured Granulicatella sp.
Lineage: Bacteria; Bacillati; Bacillota; Bacilli; Lactobacillales; Carnobacteriaceae
Description: bacterial SSU rRNA
Rfam family: Bacterial small subunit ribosomal RNA
Source: RNAcentral